AGAGUUUGAUCCUGGCUCAGGAUGAACGCUGGCUGUGUGCCUAAUACAUGCAUGUUGAACGAAGCUAAAAGUGCUUGCACUUUAAGACUUAGUAGCGAAUGGGUGAGUAACACGUACUUAACCUACCCCCAAGUUUGGGAUAACGUUUGGAAACGAACGCUAAUACCGAAUACGUAUUUUUAUCGCAUGAUAGAAAUAUAAAAGGAGCUUCGGCUUCGCUAGGGGAUGGGAGUGCGCUACAUUAGUUAGUUGGUAGGGUAAUGGCCUACCAAGACUAUGAUGUAUAGCGGGGCCGAGAGGCUGAUCCGCCACACUGGGACUGAGAUACGGCCCAGACUCCUACGGGAGGCAGCAGUAGGGAAUUUUCCACAAUGAACGAAAGUUUGAUGGAGCGACACAGCGUGCAGGAUGGAGGUCUUCGGAUCGUAAACUGCUGUUAUAAGGGAAGAAAAACUUUAGUAGGUAAUGACUAGAACUUGACGGUACCUUAUCAGAAAGCGACGGCUAACUAUGUGCCAGCAGCCGCGGUAAU
This 532-nucleotide ribosomal RNA is filed under the name uncultured bacterium. Its description in RNAcentral is "bacterial SSU rRNA". It matches the Rfam family "Bacterial small subunit ribosomal RNA", at positions 8 to 524 of the family's 1533-position model. The record is from RNAcentral.